This 460-nucleotide ribosomal RNA is filed under the name uncultured bacterium. RNAcentral's name for it is "partial 16S ribosomal RNA". It matches the Rfam family "Bacterial small subunit ribosomal RNA", at positions 338 to 795 of the family's 1533-position model. The record is from RNAcentral.
CCUACGGGGGGCAGCAGUGAGGAAUAUUGGUCAAUGGACGAAAGCCUGAACCAGCCAAGUAGCGUGCAGGAUGACUGCCCUAUGGGUUGUAAACUUCUUUUAUAUGGGAAUAAAAUGUUCCACGUGUGGGAGUUUGUAUGUACCAUAUGAAUAAGGGUCGGCUAAAUCCGUGCCAGCAGCCGCGGUAAUACGGAGGAUCCGAGCGUUAUCCGGAUUUAUUGGGUUUAAAGGGAGCGUAGGUGGAUUGUUAAGUCAGUUGUGAAAGUUUGCGGCUCAACCGUGAAAUUGCAGUUGAAACUGGAAGUCGUGAGUACAGAAGAGGCGGGCGGAAUUCGUGGUGUAGCGGUGAAAUGCUUAGAUAUCACGAAGAACCCCGAUUGCGAAGGCAGUUCACUGGACUGCAACUGACACUGAGGCUCGAAAGUGUGGGUAUCAAACAGGAUUAGAUACCCUAGUAGUC